UUAUCUCAGAGGUCCUAUUUUAAAGAUCUAAGCGCACAGCAUGAAGCGCCUGGCGCUGGUGCAUUUAGGACGUGUCCAAAUCCACUUUGCUAGUUCGA
This is a long non-coding RNA of Etheostoma spectabile (orangethroat darter), 98 nucleotides long. RefSeq lists it as uncharacterized. The transcript has 3 exons. NCBI's taxonomy places the organism in Eukaryota, Metazoa, Chordata, Actinopteri, Perciformes, Percidae. The record is from RefSeq and is a predicted model, not a curated record.